GAAGCUGUGGCCAAAAGGUAAAGGCAGCCUCAAUAAAUGGCUUUUUGAGGGUUCGAUUCCCUCCAGCUUCA
This 71-nucleotide transfer RNA is filed under the name [Phormidium] sp. LEGE 05292. RNAcentral's name for it is "tRNA-Tyr". It matches the Rfam family "tRNA". From Rfam's summary of the family: Transfer RNA (tRNA) molecules are approximately 80 nucleotides in length. Their secondary structure includes four short double-helical elements and three loops (D, anti-codon, and T loops). Lineage: Bacteria; Bacillati; Cyanobacteriota; Cyanophyceae; Aerosakkonematales; Aerosakkonemataceae. The record is from RNAcentral.